Molecule: long non-coding RNA, 1839 nt
Filed under: Homo sapiens (human)
Lineage: Eukaryota; Metazoa; Chordata; Mammalia; Primates; Hominidae
Description: HSALNT0404227
Source: RNAcentral
AAAAGAGCAGAGCUGGGAGACCAGGGAGGAUGUAGCUGCAGGAAUCCCAGGAAUGCAGGUGAGGGCUGGAGGCGGUUGCCCUGCAGGUGAGUGAUGGGAGAGGCCAGAGGGGCCAGCGAGGUGUGGGUCUGGAGCCAGCAGAUCAUGUUUUCUGUCUGUCCUUCCUCCACGACGAUGUACUCUUUAGGAGCCGAGUGACGAUGACCUGUGGAUGAGCAGCCUGGGAUGCCCCUGUCCCCAGCCUCUUCAACCUGACACAAGUUUGCAUUCUAUGCUCUCUUUCUUUGGAACAAGGAUUGACUCCUAAGUGGCAUCUGGAGAAGGCCGAGCUUCCUGCAGGGACCUGAAGAGGGUAUUAAUAGCAACUUUCCUCUGUGGGGUGUGGGACCAGCAGGUCAGGACAAUGGACCCCAGCCAGGAACCGAUCCAGAAGUGACCACUGGCUGCCACUGAGUGGAGCCCACCAGGCCCGCUCUCCUCUCAGCCACAGUGGGGAUUGCUUUCUGCAUCCUGCUGAGAAAAAAACUGCAUAGAACAAUUUCUGAAAUUAAGGGCCAUCCACUGGGUUAUUUUAAACCAAAGAGCUGAAGCCUCCUUCAGUAGACACAGGAAAAUUGAUUAAAGUCCGUGCUUCAAGGGCCCUGAAAGCACUUUAUGUCAAUGUCCUUCCUGCGAUAGUGCUUCUGUGUUUUAAUAGUAAAGCCUGCAUGAGUUUACUAAGAAGGAAAACCUUAUGUGUUUUGCAGGUAAAAUGUCUGUCACCCAGGCAUUGAACUCAGCAGUAUGGUUUGGCAAUUACUGUCCUCAAGGCUCCUUUCUUUCAUUAUCUUUAUCUCCUUUAAAAAAAUUUUUUUAAAGAUUUUUUUCUUAUUUCAAAUGGUGCACAAUCUUAUACAAGAUUUUAAAAAUUACAAAAUUAACUAGCAAAAAGUUAAAAUCCUCCCUAAUGCAGACGGCAAGGGGCUAUGGCUUCCUUCCUGUGCGACCAACAUUCUUUUUGGUAUGUUAUGCUUUUAUCAGCUGCUUUGGAAUCUGAGGCUGAUUGGUUCCAUCUGCAUUUCUGUUUGACUUUCAGCUCUGAGCUCACCCUAAUCAUAGCUCACUAUCGAGAAAAAGCACAGAGACUGCUACAGAAGCUGCAGGCUUCUACUUGAUAAUACAACCUAGUAACAUACUGAGCUGGUCUGGAACCACUCACACAGACCCCUCCAAUCACUGAGAGCCCAGGGCUGAUGGAGCAAAUAGAAGAUACCACAACGCAAGGAGGGCUCCUAAAAGAAGUCUUAGACAAGGAGUCUGCAUCUGCCAAACUCCAUUUUUCUGGAAUCCCAGCUGAAUGCUGGGAUUCAUUAAUGCUUCCACGUUGCAUUCUAACACCCAGAGCUGCCCCAGUUCUAAUCUGUGAUUCACAGUUAGCCUGGUCAUCAUGCGUAUGGAUGGCCUUGCCCAUAGGCACAUCCAUUCUCUCUUCCAGGCUGGCAGGUUUUCUCUAGGUUUGCUCACUUUUUUUGUACUUAUUUCUGCAUUUGCCUCCUGAAGGUUUUUAGAAACAGAAACGGAGUCAUCAGAUUGCUCACAGUGGCCAAAUCUUGCCCUAAAGUCAAAGCUCUGAAGCACUGCACUAAAGAGCUCUUGGAACACCCGUGGAUUCCCAAGGAAAGGAAUGGAUAAAGUUAAGCCAUGAUGACCUUGUUGAAUCCAGCCAUUCUGCAAGUGCCUGUUUUGACUUUAGGGAUGGAAGUCCUUCCAGGCAUGCCAAGAGGGAAGGAAACAUGGCAGGUGCACUGGCUUUGAAGUUGCCGUGGUGGUUGCAAUCCUGCAUCUGUCUGUUCCUGAUGG